Molecule: unclassified non-coding RNA, 174 nt
Filed under: uncultured Trichoglossum
Lineage: Eukaryota; Fungi; Ascomycota; Geoglossomycetes; Geoglossales; Geoglossaceae
Description: sequence contains ITS2
Source: RNAcentral
UAAAAUCUCAAGCCCUAGAAGGCUUGGUGUUGGGCUGUCAUGACUUUUGCAUUGGGCUGGUUAUGUGCCUGAAAAUCAGUGGCAGUGCCUAGAAUGACCUCAAGCAUAGUGGACACUCUUGUGCUUUGGAGGCUUCAUUAAGGAUUGCUUGCCUUUUAACUGCUUUUGACAAAG